GUCGAACGAUAGUCCCAGCUUGCUGGGGCGAAAGUGGCGCACGGGUGCGUAACGCGUAUGCAACCUACCUUAAUCAGGGGGAUAGCCCGAAGAAAUUCGGAUUAACACCGCAUAAAAUCACAGCACAGCAUUGUGCAAUGAUCAAAUAUUUAUAGGAUUAAGAUGGGCAUGCGUGACAUUAGUUAGUUGGCGGGGUAACGGCCCACCAAGACCACGAUGUCUAGGGGAUCUGAGAGGAUGACCCCCCACACUGGUACUGAGACACGGACCAGACUCCUACGGGAGGCAGCAGUAAGGAAUAUUGGUCAAUGGAGGCAACUCUGAACCAGCCAUGCCGCGUGCAGGAAGACAGCCCUCUGGGUCGUAAACUGCUUUUAUUCGGGAAUAAACCUCAUUACGUGUAAUGAGCUGAAUGUACCGAAGGAAUAAGGAUCGGCUAACUCCGUGCCAGCAGCCGCG
RNAcentral lists this ribosomal RNA (459 nucleotides) under uncultured soil bacterium. RNAcentral describes it as "bacterial SSU rRNA". It matches the Rfam family "Bacterial small subunit ribosomal RNA", at positions 61 to 519 of the family's 1533-position model. The record is from RNAcentral.